Molecule: ribosomal RNA, 351 nt
Filed under: uncultured bacterium
Lineage: Bacteria
Description: bacterial SSU rRNA
Rfam family: Bacterial small subunit ribosomal RNA
Source: RNAcentral
ACGUAAUAGAUACCCUGGUAGUCCACGCCCUAAACGAUGUCUACUAGUUGUUGGUGGAGUAAAAUCCAUGAGUAAACGCAGCUAAACGCGUGAAGUAGACCGCCUGGGGAGUACGGUCGCAAGAUUAAAACUCAAAGGAAUUGACGGGGGCCCGGCACAAGCGGUGGAUUAUGUGGAUUAAAUUCGAUGCAACGCGAAAAACCUUAACCUGGCCUUGACAUGCCACUAACGAAGCAGAGAUGCAUUAGGUGCCCGUAAGGGAAAGUGGACACAGGUGCUGCAUGGCUGUCGUCAGCUCGUGUCGUGAGAUGUUGGGUUAAGUCCCGCAACGAGCGCAACCCUUGCCAUUAA